UAAUUUAAUUUAUUUUACUCAUAUAAUAACGAGAAUAUGGCUCGUAAGUUUCUACCGACAUCCCGUAAAGAGGUCGACUAUGAGAAGAAGUA
RNAcentral lists this non-coding RNA (92 nucleotides) under uncultured Metasolibacillus sp. Its description in RNAcentral is "Purine riboswitch". It matches the Rfam family "Purine riboswitch aptamer". Rfam says of the family: Riboswitches are metabolite binding domains within certain messenger RNAs that serve as precision sensors for their corresponding targets. Allosteric rearrangement of mRNA structure is mediated by ligand binding, and this results in modulation of gene expression. The record is from RNAcentral. Lineage: Bacteria; Bacillati; Bacillota; Bacilli; Caryophanales; Caryophanaceae.